AAGGUAGAGGCGCAGCUUUCAAAAGUAACGAGACCGUUUAAUUCCGAUGAAAAGGCUCGCGAAAGGGGACGCUGCCGAAGCGCUGUGUUUGCGGAAGGGCACAGCCGCUGGUAUACGGCAUAAUAUGCCCUGUACUGUCACGUAAUGUGGAGAGCUAUCGUG
Molecule: non-coding RNA, 162 nt
Filed under: pig gut metagenome
Description: Lysine riboswitch
Rfam family: Lysine riboswitch aptamer
About the family: Riboswitches are metabolite binding domains within certain messenger RNAs that serve as precision sensors for their corresponding targets. Allosteric rearrangement of mRNA structure is mediated by ligand binding, and this results in modulation of gene expression.
Source: RNAcentral